RNAcentral lists this ribosomal RNA (369 nucleotides) under Menippus sp. 1 XKY-2013. RNAcentral describes it as "partial 16S ribosomal RNA". RNAcentral also lists the same sequence under 1 other name. Lineage: Eukaryota; Metazoa; Arthropoda; Insecta; Coleoptera; Chrysomelidae. The record is from RNAcentral.
UUGAAUGGCCGCGGUAUUUUGACCGUGCUAAGGUAGCAUAAUCAUUAGUUUUUUAAUUGAAAGCUGGAAUGAAGGGCUGAAUGAAAAAAAGACUGUCUCUAUUUAAUUAAUAUAGAAUUUUAUUUUUAAGUUAAAAAGCUUAAAUAUAAUUAAAAGACGAGAAGACCCUAUAGAGUUUUAUAAUUUUAUUUAUAUAAAAAUAUAGAAUUUAUAUAUUUAUAUUUAAAAAAUUAUUGAAUUGGGGUGAUUAAAAAAUUUAGUAAACUUUUUUUAUAUAAAAAUAUUUAUUUAUAAAUAAUUGAUCCAAAAUAAUUUUGAUUAAAAGAUUAAAUUACCUUAGGGAUAACAGCGUAAUUUUAUUAGAGAGUU